Molecule: long non-coding RNA, 374 nt
Filed under: Homo sapiens (human)
Lineage: Eukaryota; Metazoa; Chordata; Mammalia; Primates; Hominidae
Description: long non-coding RNA NONHSAT205488
Source: RNAcentral
GCUAAAUAUGCAGCUCCUAAACUCAGACUAUUCUGUGUCUUAAUCCAAGAGAAGUCCCAACCACUAUCCCUCAUUUUGAAAUGAAAGAGCCACAAAAGGAACGGUUUAUCUACUGAUGCCAGACCAACAUUGCACAGAAUUGUGUCUCAACCCAAGCAUAUCUCUCUACAGAUGUUGAAGGAAGGGUGUCUGUGUACCCACUGAUUCUUCUGCUGAUGAACAAUAGCAUGAUUGUUCCAGGUGAUUCUUAUUGAUGACUUUCAGAAGCAGCACAGCAUGUCUCCUAAUAUGGAAUGGUUUGCUAUGCUAUUGCAUGGCUGAAAGGGUUGACUGGACCACCAUGAGGAUGGAAAAUUUUUCCUGAAGAAAUAAUA